AAAAGAACUUUGAAGAGAGAGUUCAAGAGAAUGUGAAACCACGUGGGGCUAAGCGGAUAGAGUUGACGAAGCUGGCGGUGUUCAGUGCUUGUGAUCGGGCUUGCUCGUGAUCUGGUGCGCUCUCAUCGUCUGGCGCGUGCUGGGACGUUUGGUGUGCUCUUCUGAAGGCUUCGGAGUCGCCCAAGUUCGCUUGGUAGCGUUUCGUUGUUGGAAGUUGAUAUGCGUGCUAAUCGUAGUCGUGACCGGGCCUCUGCGCGUUCGGGCGUUUGGUCGUAGGCUGCUUGGCGGUAGGACAUGUCUUGCUGUCUCGUACGUUUGCGGCUGAGCGUUCGCUCGCCUAUGGUUCACUCCUGGUAUGUGAAAGUCGACCACCUAUCCGACCCGUCUUGAAACACGGACCAAGAAGUCUAGUAUGUACGCGAGUCAUUGGGUAUUAAACCUAUUGGCGCAAUAAAUGUGAAGGGCUUUACCGCCUGAUAUGUGAUCCGUCGGUCUCGGCCGGCGGCGCAACAUAGUCCCAUGCCUUCUGCUUGCAGUUGUGUGGAGAUGGAGCGUACAUACUAGGACCCGAAAGAUGGUGAACUAUGCCUGAGCAGGACGAAGUCAGAGGAAACUCUGAUGGAAGUCCGAAGCGGUUCUGACGUGCAAAUCGAUCGUCGGACUCGGGUAUAGGGGCGAAAGACUAAUCGAACCAUC
RNAcentral lists this ribosomal RNA (696 nucleotides) under Pristionchus bucculentus. RNAcentral's name for it is "eukaryotic LSU rRNA". It matches the Rfam family "Eukaryotic large subunit ribosomal RNA", at positions 367 to 944 of the family's 3401-position model. Lineage: Eukaryota; Metazoa; Nematoda; Chromadorea; Rhabditida; Neodiplogasteridae. The record is from RNAcentral.